UAGUGUGACCAACUGUCCCAGUUUGUCUGGAACUGUUUUAGGUUUAGCACUGAAGAUCAAGAAACCCCUCAGUCCUGGGUAAACUAAGGUGGCUUGUCACCUUAAGGUGCU
This 111-nucleotide microRNA precursor is filed under the name Marmota monax (woodchuck). Lineage: Eukaryota; Metazoa; Chordata; Mammalia; Rodentia; Sciuridae. The record is from RNAcentral.